This 417-nucleotide ribosomal RNA is filed under the name Lactobacillus porci. Its description in RNAcentral is "bacterial SSU rRNA". It matches the Rfam family "Bacterial small subunit ribosomal RNA", at positions 1 to 393 of the family's 1533-position model. The record is from RNAcentral. Lineage: Bacteria; Bacillati; Bacillota; Bacilli; Lactobacillales; Lactobacillaceae.
CAAAAUGAGAGUUUGAUCCUGGCUCAGGACGAACGCUGGCGGCGUGCCUAAUACAUGCAAGUCGAGCGAGCUGAAUUCAAGGAUCCCUUCGGGGUGACUUGUUGGACGCGAGCGGCGGAUGGGUGAGUAACACGUGGGCAACCUGCCCUAAAGACUGGGAUACCACUUGGAAACAGGUGCUAAUACCGGAUAACAACGACUUUCACAUGAAAGACGCUUGAAAGGCGGCUUUAAGCUGUCACUUUAGGAUGGGCCCGCGGUGCAUUAGCUAGUUGGUGAGGUAACGGCCCACCAAGGCAAUGAUGCAUAGCCGAGUUGAGAGACUGAUCGGCCACAUUGGGACUGAGACACGGCCCAAACUCCUACGGGAGGCAGCAGUAGGGAAUCUUCCACAAUGGACGCAAGUCUGAUGGAGCA